RNAcentral lists this unclassified non-coding RNA (301 nucleotides) under fungal sp. RNAcentral's name for it is "partial internal transcribed spacer region". The stretch from base 1 to 46 matches the Rfam family "Eukaryotic small subunit ribosomal RNA", at positions 1786 to 1831 of the family's 1831-position model. The record is from RNAcentral. Lineage: Eukaryota; Fungi.
AAGUCGUAACAAGGUUUCCGUAGGUGAACCUGCGGAAGGAUCAUUAACACGUAUCCAACGUUAAACAACCCUUGAACUUUCAGACGCUCUCGUAGCCCAGGCGGAACAGCAAUCCCGGUAAAUCAAUUGGCGGGAAAGUUUUGAUUCGGGACCUCUGUCCAAAAGGUAUGCUAGAGGUCGAUCACCGGCCGGCAGACAUGUCACAGGCCUAUGUGCCCCCCCAUUCACACCUUGCCUAGCCCCGCGGAAACGUCUGGGGUACCAAAACGAACAACUGUUAAGAAUGGAUAUCUUGGUUCUC